RNAcentral lists this transfer RNA (82 nucleotides) under Echinostoma caproni. It matches the Rfam family "tRNA". Rfam says of the family: Transfer RNA (tRNA) molecules are approximately 80 nucleotides in length. Their secondary structure includes four short double-helical elements and three loops (D, anti-codon, and T loops). Further hydrogen bonds mediate the characteristic L-shaped molecular structure. tRNAs have two regions of fundamental functional importance: the anti-codon, which is responsible for specific mRNA codon recognition, and the 3' end, to which the tRNAs corresponding amino acid is attached (by aminoacyl-tRNA synthetases). tRNAs cope with the degeneracy of the genetic code in two manners: having more than one tRNA (with a specific anti-codon) for a particular amino acid; and 'wobble' base-pairing, i.e. permitting non-standard base-pairing at the 3rd anti-codon position. The record is from Rfam by way of RNAcentral. Lineage: Eukaryota; Metazoa; Platyhelminthes; Trematoda; Plagiorchiida; Echinostomatidae.
GGACUCGUAGCUCAACUGGUAGAGCAUGCGCGUACAAAGCGUAGGCGGUGUCCAUGCGUGGGUUCGAAUCCCACCGAGGCUA